AAUGGGCGAAAGCCUGAUCCAGCAAUACCGCGUGUGCGAUGAAGGCCUUAGGGUUGUAAAGCACUUUCAGUGGGGAAGAAGGCCAUGCAAUUAAUACCUGCAUGGUUUGACGUUAUCCACAGAAGAAGCACCGGCUAACUCUGUGCCAGCAGCCGCGGUAAUACAGAGGGUGCAAGCGUUAAUCGGAAUUACUGGGCGUAAAGCGCUCGUAGGCGGGCAUUUAAGUCAGAUGUGAAAUCCCCAGGCUCAACCUGGGAACUGCAUUUGGAACUGGAUGCCUAGAGUAUGGUAGAGGAAAGUGGAAUUUCCAGAGCAGCGGUGAAAUGCAUAGAUACUGGAAGGAACACCAGAGGCGAAGGCGACUUUCUGGACCAAUACUGACGCUGAGGAGCGAAAGCGUGGGGAGCAAACAGGAUU
This 417-nucleotide ribosomal RNA is filed under the name uncultured Gammaproteobacteria bacterium. RNAcentral describes it as "bacterial SSU rRNA". It matches the Rfam family "Bacterial small subunit ribosomal RNA", at positions 370 to 779 of the family's 1533-position model. The record is from RNAcentral. Lineage: Bacteria; Pseudomonadati; Pseudomonadota; Gammaproteobacteria.